UUAAGCGACUAAGCGUACACGGUGGAUGCCCUGGCAGUCAGAGGCGAUGAAGGACGUGCUAAUCUGCGAAAAGCGUCGGUAAGGUGAUAUGAACCGUUAUAGCCGGCGAUGUCCGAAUGGGGAAACCCAGUGUGAUUCGUCACACUAUCGUUAACUGAAUACAUAGGUUAACGAGGCGAACCGGGGGAACUGAAACAUCUAAGUACCCCGAGGAAAAGAAAUCAACCGAGAUUCCCCCAGUAGCGGCGAGCGAACGGGGAGCAGCCCAGAGUCUGAAUCAGCUUGUGUGUUAGUGGAACGGUCUGGAAAGUCCGACGGUACAGGGUGAUAGUCCCGUACACCAAAAUGCACAGGCUGUGAACUCGAAGAGUAGGGCGGGACACGUGGUAUCCUGUCUGAAUAUGGGGGGACCAUCCUCCAAGGCUAAAUACUCCUGACUGACCGAUAGUGAACCAGUACCGUGAGGGAAAGGCGAAAAGAACCCCGGCGAGGGGAGUGAAAAAGAACCUGAAACCGUGUACGUACAAGCAGUGGGAGCACCUUCGGGUGUGACUGCGUACCUUUUGUAUAAUGGGUCAGCGACUUAUAUUCUGUAGCAAGGUUAACCGUAUAGGGGAGCCGCAGGGAAACCGAGUCUUAACUGGGCGUUAAGUUGCAGGGUAUAGACCCGAAACCCGGUGAUCUAGCCAUGGGCAGGUUGAAGGUUGGGUAACACUAACUGGAGGACCGAACCGACUAAUGUUGAAAAAUUAGCGGAUGACUUGUGGCUGGGGGUGAAAGGCCAAUCAAACCGGGAGAUAGCUGGUUCUCCCCGAAAGCUAUUUAGGUAGCGCCUCGUGAAUUCAUCUUCGGGGGUAGAGCACUGUUUCGGCUAGGGGGUCAUCCCGACUUACCAACCCGAUGCAAACUACGAAUACCGAAGAAUGUUAUCACGGGAGACACACGGCGGGUGCUAACGUCCGUCGUGAAGAGGGAAACAACCCAGACCGCCAGCUAAGGUCCCAAAGUCAUGGUUAAGUGGGAAACGAUGUGGGAAGGCACAGACAGCCAGGAUGUUGGCUUAGAAGCAGCCAUCAUUUAAAGAAAGCGUAAUAGCUCACUGGUCGAGUCGGCCUGCGCGGAAGAUGUAACGGGGCUAAACCAUGCACCGAAGCUGCGGCAGCGACACUAUGUGUUGUUGGGUAGGGGAGCGUUCUGUAAGCCUGCGAAGGUGUGCUGUGAGGCAUGCUGGAGGUAUCAGAAGUGCGAAUGCUGACAUAAGUAACGAUAAAGCGGGUGAAAAGCCCGCUCGCCGGAAGACCAAGGGUUCCUGUCCAACGUUAAUCGGGGCAGGGUGAGUCGACCCCUAAGGCGAGGCCGAAAGGCGUAGUCGAUGGGAAACAGGUUAAUAUUCCUGUACUUGGUGUUACUGCGAAGGGGGGACGGAGAAGGCUAUGUUAGCCGGGCGACGGUUGUCCCGGUUUAAGCAUGUAGGCUGGUUAUCCAGGCAAAUCCGGAUAAUCAAGGCUGAGGUGUGAUGACGAGGCACUACGGUGCUGAAGUAACAAAUGCCCUGCUUCCAGGAAAAGCCUCUAAGCAUCAGGUAACAUCAAAUCGUACCCCAAACCGACACAGGUGGUCAGGUAGAGAAUACCAAGGCGCUUGAGAGAACUCGGGUGAAGGAACUAGGCAAAAUGGUGCCGUAACUUCGGGAGAAGGCACGCUGGUGUGUAGGUGAAGUCCCUGCGGAUGGAGCUGAGACCAGUCGAAGAUACCAGCUGGCUGCAACUGUUUAUUAAAAACACAGCACUGUGCAAACACGAAAGUGGACGUAUACGGUGUGACGCCUGCCCGGUGCCGGAAGGUUAAUUGAUGGGGUUAUCCGUAAGGAGAAGCUCUUGAUCGAAGCCCCGGUAAACGGCGGCCGUAACUAUAACGGUCCUAAGGUAGCGAAAUUCCUUGUCGGGUAAGUUCCGACCUGCACGAAUGGCGUAAUGAUGGCCAGGCUGUCUCCACCCGAGACUCAGUGAAAUUGAACUCGCUGUGAAGAUGCAGUGUACCCGCGGCAAGACGGAAAGACCCCGUGAACCUUUACUAUAGCUUGACACUGAACAUUGAGCCUUGAUGUGUAGGAUAGGUGGGAGGCUUUGAAGCGUGGACGCCAGUCUGCGUGGAGCCAACCUUGAAAUACCACCCUUUAAUGUUUGAUGUUCUAACGUUGGCCCCUGACCGGGGUUGCGGACAGUGUCUGGUGGGUAGUUUGACUGGGGCGGUCUCCUCCCAAAGCGUAACGGAGGAGCACGAAGGUUAGCUAAUCCUGGUCGGACAUCAGGAGGUUAGUGCAAUGGCAUAAGCUAGCUUGACUGCGAGCGUGACGGCGCGAGCAGGUGCGAAAGCAGGUCAUAGUGAUCCGGUGGUUCUGAAUGGAAGGGCCAUCGCUCAACGGAUAAAAGGUACUCCGGGGAUAACAGGCUGAUACCGCCCAAGAGUUCAUAUCGACGGCGGUGUUUGGCACCUCGAUGUCGGCUCAUCACAUCCUGGGGCUGAAGUAGGUCCCAAGGGUAUGGCUGUUCGCCAUUUAAAGUGGUACGCGAGCUGGGUUUAGAACGUCGUGAGACAGUUCGGUCCCUAUCUGCCGUGGGCGCUGGAGAAUUGAGGGGGGCUGCUCCUAGUACGAGAGGACCGGAGUGGACGCAUCACUGGUGUUCGGGUUGUCAUGCCAAUGGCACUGCCCGGUAGCUAAAUGCGGAAGAGAUAAGUGCUGAAAGCAUCUAAGCACGAAACUUGCCCCGAGAUGAGUUCUCCCUGAGACUUUAAGUCUCCUGAAGGAACGUUAAAGACGAUGACGUUGAUAGGCCGGGUGUGUAAGCGCAGCGAUGCGUUGAGCUAACCGGUACUAAUGAACCGUGAGGCUUAACCUU
Molecule: ribosomal RNA, 2900 nt
Filed under: Klebsiella pneumoniae
Lineage: Bacteria; Pseudomonadati; Pseudomonadota; Gammaproteobacteria; Enterobacterales; Enterobacteriaceae
Description: bacterial LSU rRNA
Rfam family: Bacterial large subunit ribosomal RNA
Source: RNAcentral